GACGAACGCUGGCGGCGUGCUUAACACAUGCAAGUCGAACGAAGUGGCGAACGGGUGAGUAACGCGUAAUCAACCUGCCCUUCAGAGGGGGACAACAGUUGGAAACGACUGCAAAUACCGCAUACUGAAGGCGGGGUUUGCGUCGGAUCAGCUAGUUGGAGGGGUAACGGCCCACCAAGGGGAUGAUCAGUAGCCGGUCUGAGGGGAGGAACGGCCAAAACUGGACAGGAACACCGGCCAAACUCCUUCGGGGGGCAGCAGUGGGGAAACUUCCGAAAAGGGGGAAAAGCUGACGGAGCAACGCCGGGGGGGUGGUGACGGCCUUCGGGUUUGAAAGCUCUGUUAAUCGGGGCGCGGUACCGGAAUAGAAAGCCACGGCUAACUACGUGCCAGCAGCCGCGGUAAUAC
Molecule: ribosomal RNA, 408 nt
Filed under: uncultured bacterium
Lineage: Bacteria
Description: partial 16S ribosomal RNA
Rfam family: Bacterial small subunit ribosomal RNA
Source: RNAcentral